CGGUAAUUCCAGCUCCAAUAGCGUAUACUAAAGUUGUUGCAGUUAAAAAGCUCGUAGUUGGAUUUCUGCGGGGACGGAGCGGCCGGACGCAACUUGCGUCUCGAGCUAGCGCUUUCCCCGCAUCCUGCCGCGAACCGUGCUACCAUUAGUUUGGUGGCGCUGGGGAUCGGCUCGAUUACUUUGAGAAAAAUAGAGUGUUCAAAGCAGGCCACACGCCUUGAAUAAGUUAGCAUGGAAUAAUGACUAAGGACUUUGGUUCUUUUCGUUGGUGUUCGGGACUGAAGUAAUGAUUGAUAGGGACAGUUGGGGCGGUCCGUAUUCCAAAGCGAGAGGUGAAAUUCUUAGACCUUCGGAAGACGAACAGCUGCGAAAGCGUUCCGCAAGGAUGUUCCCUUUGAUCAAGAACGAAAGUUGGGGGAUCGAAGACGGUCAGAUAUCGUCGUAGUCUCAACUAUAAACUAUACCAGCUAGGGAUCGGCCAACGUUUAAUUAUUCGACUUGGUCGGCACCUUAUGAGAAAUCAAAGCAUCUGGGUUCCGGGGGGAGUAUGGUCGCAAGGCUGAAACUUAAAGGAAUUGACGGAAGGGCACCACCAGGCGUGGAGCCUGUGGCUUAAUUUGACUCAACACGGGAAAACUUACCAGGUCCAGACAUAGGAAGGAUUGACAGAUUGAUAGCUCUUUCUUGAUUCUGUGGGUGGUGGUGCAUGGCCGUUUUUAGUCGGUGAAGUGAUUUGUCUGCUUAAUUGCGUUAACGGACGAGACCCCAGCCUGCUAAAUAGCGCGGCCGAGCUUUGCUCGGUACGAGCUUCUUAGAGGGACCAUGAUGCGCGAUAGCACAAGGAAGUUUGGGGCAACAACAGGUCUGUGAUGCCCUUAGAUGUUCUGGGCCGCACACGGGCUACACUGGCGCCUGCAACGAGCAUAUCAGCUGGCCCGAGAGGGUCUUGGCUAAUCUUUGGAACCGGCGCCGUGCUUGGGAUUGACCAUUGCAAUUGUUGGUCAUGCAACGAGGAAUGCCUUGUAAACGCGAGUCAUCAGCUCGCAUUGAAUACGUCCCUGCCCUUUGUACACACCGCCCGUCGCUCCUACCGAUGAAUGUUCCGAUGAAAUUUUCGGAGAGCGCCGGAGAACGGGGCUCUGCCCUGCAGAACUGGAGGCUCAAAGUCACUUAAAUCUGAACAUUUCGAGGAAGGAGAAGUCGUAACAAGGUUUCCGUAGGUGAACCUGCAGAAGGAUCA
RNAcentral lists this ribosomal RNA (1240 nucleotides) under uncultured Rhizaria. Its description in RNAcentral is "SSU rRNA". It matches the Rfam family "Eukaryotic small subunit ribosomal RNA", at positions 577 to 1828 of the family's 1831-position model. The record is from RNAcentral.